GGCUGGUCCGAAGGUAGUGAGUUAUCUCACUUGAUUGUUCGCAGUUACAGAUUGAACUCCUUGUUCUACUACUUCCCCCCUCCUCACUACUGCACUUGACUAGUCUUAG
This 109-nucleotide Y RNA is filed under the name Propithecus coquereli (Coquerel's sifaka). RNAcentral's name for it is "Y RNA (ENSPCOG00000000335.1)". It matches the Rfam family "Y RNA". Rfam says of the family: Y RNAs are components of the Ro ribonucleoprotein particle (Ro RNP), in association with Ro60 and La proteins. The Y RNAs and Ro60 and La proteins are well conserved, but the function of the Ro RNP is not known. In humans the RNA component can be one of four small RNAs -- hY1, hY3, hY4 and hY5. The record is from Rfam by way of RNAcentral. Lineage: Eukaryota; Metazoa; Chordata; Mammalia; Primates; Indriidae.